AGCGUAACUAAACCCCUGGUCAGAGCCUGACUCCACCCACUGCAAUAUUUGAAAAAUGCAAGAAAAGUGGGCAGAUCCCAACGGAGAUAGAGGGGACGAACUAAGUGUGUGGUGAGAUCGUAACAAGGGCGUGGUGAGCUUGAACCUGCUUACGUCACGAGUCAUUUCUUGGACCCAACAUCCAAUAGGAAAAUUCAACUGCAGUAGCCACCGUUCAACCUCAAGAGGGCAGCACUCAGACGUUUUUACACCAUAUAUUGUAGUAUUGAAACACUUUAUAUCCAAAUGUCAAAAAACUUACUAAAAUCAAUGAACAGCACUAAUAAAGCAUCAUUCUUACAGAUCAUUAACUAAAAAAAAUUGGUUUGGGGUUUAGUUACUCUUUAAAAAAUUAGGUAAAUGAAUGAAUAAUUUUUUUCAGUCUAGGCUUUGAAAGGCGCAUUCUGUUAAAGAAAAUAUAUCGCCUGGCAGUGAACUUUAAGCUUUAUCAUUUUGCAGUUGGUCAUUGCAGUGAUUUUGAACAUAAGCAGUGCUGCGCUGGCGAUCACAGCUGUUGUGUUUCAUUCAGUGGAGCUGGCAAAAACAUCUAUCAAUACUACUAUCCAUACUGUGAUGACGACAAUUAUUCACGUUAUGGAGAUCAUGUAACAGCGUCCCCUGAACAGAGGAAGGAUCAGGAAAUGUGUCUGUACUACAUGCAUCUCAAUCAGUGAACGAAACACGCUGUUAAUGCAUUUGUGAUCUAUAGAGGUGUAAAAAUCAUGAUGAUAGUUUUGGUAGUUCUUCUGGUCUGUUUAACCAUCAGCUGCUGUGUCGGGACUCUGAAAGCUUUGUGCAAGAAGAGCGGAGAUGCACAGUCUGUGGAGGACUCACAACUUUACAAGCCUCUCCUGGAGGACGCUGCAAUCCUCCAUGCUAGAGGAACACAAUGAACAUGGAUGAAAAAGCAACACAAUACUCAUGUUACAGGUUAAGGGUUUUGAGGUGGAUUGGUUACAUUAGAGCUGAAUUUAAGAAUAAAUAAUUAGAGCACAUUAGCAUCAACCUCUUGCAUUUAUGCCACAGAUAACACUUUUAUAAUAUUUUUUUUACAUUGUAGAACAUUUUUUUAUAUUCAUGAGUUGAAUUUGUUCGCUGCUUUCACAGCUGACUCUAAAUAAAUCAAGUUUAUUUUUAUAUACUGUUAAAUAGAAUUUAACCUUGUUAAAUCAAAUUUAAUCAAUGUUUUAUUUUCAUCUUAAAUGUAAUGAUUAUUUCAGAAACAAAAUGGCAUUGUUUUGAGAUAUUAUACUUACCAUUGGGAAGCAUAACUAGAAACUCAGUCAAUAUCAGAGGAUAAAUGUAAAUUUAAUUUAUCAAACAAAAGCUUAAUGUAAACAUUAGGAAAAGGUUAAACUUCCACCAUAAGCCCAUUCGAUGUAUAGAGUUGUAAGAUUUGAUACAAAUGAAUCAACUCUAAACUCUGUUCCUGUACUCAACACUUUUCUCUUUGUUGUUUAAUUUGAUUUUUAUAAAUUCAAGUCUUUGUUUAUGCUUGGGCUCUAACUAUCUGCAGUCACUUUUAUAUAAAACUUUGAUUUGAGACCAAAAAACAAGAUUUUGACAAGAAAUCAUUGACUGCAACUAAAACAUUUAAUGUGCAUCUAUUUGAUUUUUAAUUUACAUUAUGUACCUGUAGUUUCUUUUACACUAUAUUAGCAUAUGUCAUUAUCUUAAAGUAAACCCCAAAGUGAAGCACUUAUUUUUUUGACAACUGUAUG
Paramisgurnus dabryanus is the source of this 1760-nucleotide long non-coding RNA. RefSeq lists it as uncharacterized. NCBI's taxonomy places the organism in Eukaryota, Metazoa, Chordata, Actinopteri, Cypriniformes, Cobitidae. The record is from RefSeq and is a predicted model, not a curated record.